Molecule: long non-coding RNA, 1060 nt
Organism: Salvia splendens (bonfire salvia)
Lineage: Eukaryota; Viridiplantae; Streptophyta; Magnoliopsida; Lamiales; Lamiaceae
Exons: 2
Source: RefSeq, a predicted model, not a curated record
UAACAAAGAAAUCCUAAUAAAUAAUUAAAGGAUUUAGUAGUACACACCUCUUAAGUAUAUAUCCAAACAAAACGAAAAUGGAUUAAAAGGAAAACAUGGGGUAGGAAUAGGGGGUAUGGGGUGGGAUGAAAUGAAUCUUAAAUGGUUGCUGCCGUUUCAUUAGAAAACUUUUGCGUUUUGUUGCACAGCAGAGGAUCCUUCUCCAUCGGUCCCUCCUCACCUCACUUUCUCCGCCCCACAUCGUCGAUCCCCAAUUUCGAAGAAGUUUGUCGACUCCUCUGCCACCGCCGCGCUGCUCCGACGCCACGCCGGCGGGUCAGUCUUCGCCAGCUACCGUCGCUGCUGUCCGCCCUCACUACUGCUCCGUUAUCGGCCGGACAACCAUGAUUCAUUGCUUGACAGCCCCAAAACGACACCGCAGCCCCCGAUUUCAAACCGAAAACCACCCCGAAAAGAUGAGUUGUUUACCAAGUUAUGUUCUUUUUCUUGUUUUCAGUUCACUAAUUAAGGGGUUGUGAUUGUUGGAUUAUCAAGUAUGCAAAUCCAUGAAUGAAUGCGAUGGACUUGACGUUGAGAGUGUUCAUACCUUGUUGGAAGAAUUGACAGAAUAGGAUGGGGGAGGUGUCACUCUUCAAUUUGGUUUCAACACAGAAACGGAGAGGCAGAUUGUGUAUGGGAUUACCUUGAAUUGGAUUAGGAUUGACACAGGAAUUGCUGUGAACUCUUUUUCAGGAAAUUGAUUGUGUGAUUCAGAGACGGAGAGAACGGACGGAAAGAAAGCUCGUAUAUACUGAUUCGGCUACAAUAGCAAUUCAAUGGUGAUAACGGAGGAGUGGAGUAGAAGCUGAAGCAUUUCUGUGAAGGAUACAAUUCACGUUUGGAGCAGACAAGUCACCAAGAAGAAAUUGGGCUUCAAAGAUUUAUUUGCACCACACUUAUUUAUUCAUUAGCUUAUAGGCCCAAGGGAUUUAUUUUUUAUAUUGCACUCUUUUAUUUCCCCAUGGCCCAAAGCCAUCUUGUAUACAACACGUUGGAAUUAAUAGUAUUAUUUAUUUCGCAA